Molecule: long non-coding RNA, 1098 nt
Organism: Gavialis gangeticus (Gharial)
Lineage: Eukaryota; Metazoa; Chordata; Crocodylia; Gavialidae
Exons: 3
Source: RefSeq, a predicted model, not a curated record
AUUGUGUGCAUUAGCAUGAUGUAAAUGCAAAUAAAUAUUUUGUUCAAGGCUAAAUGAAUGAGACAUGAUGGCAAGGAGAUGAUUCCUUUGUUGGGAGAAUCAGCCAAAGCAUUUUGUAAAAGCUUGACAGCCACGUGUGCACAUCUUUGCAGGACUAAUUAACGCGUUUAUGCUUACAGGGAGGCGGGAACUCACACAGUAACCAAGAGAUGGAGAGAUCCAAAGAAUGCUGACUGGUUACAAACAGGCUGAAGAGCCAUCAAGUUAAGAUCCUUUCCAGAGAACUAUCAAUGACUGAGCUGGAAAUAGAAGCCAUUUCCCUGAGUUCCUGUUCAUGUACACUGUCCUCUAGUCUAGCUCAUCCUGAGGUGAAUCAUGACCAACUCACCAAGCUUGCCCUUCUACAUUACAGGGUGAUUCACAGCCUUAGCUCUAUCCUUCUUUGCAAGAAAUUCAUGCGGAGUGAAGCCUCUCCAAAUCCAAACAGAACCAGUUGAAGAGAGCUGUCGUGAACAUCAAGUUGAAGCUCCCUUUCUUGUGAGUGUGGGUGAUAAGUACUUCAUGGAGAACAAUGGAUGCUACUCUGGCAGCAGAUUAUCCAAGCCCUGGAGAACAUCACAUGUAUUUUAAUUAAAGGGAUACUGUCAAAAAGAAAAUCAUGGGUCAAAUCCUUUGCUAGUGUAUCUUACAACAGCUUCAUUGACUGAGGAGCUGACCCUUGACAUUUUAGCUGGUUUCCUUAGUCAUGCAUUGGAUUAUUACAACUAAAAGAAUUGUAAGCAUUUGAACUUCUUCCCUCAUUCAUGCUGUUUAUUUACUGUUUCCCUUGCAAUCCAGCUGGAACAAUGGAAGUAGAUAGGCCUGGCCUUUCUUUAGUAUCAGAAGAGGUACUUACUGCUCCUUCCUGCAGAGCUGUUAUAAGCACUGUUUUUCUUACUGACAUUAGGAUAAACUGGGUCUCAACUAACCUCAGAGCAGUACAGGCCUGCUUUAGUCACUGAGACAAGCAGCCCAUGGUUUGGGACAAAACUUUCAUAAACUGGUUUGACCUAAAUCAGUUAAAUCUGUUACUACAUUCAGACAGGUUUAUCUUAAACC